RNAcentral lists this ribosomal RNA (329 nucleotides) under uncultured eukaryote. Its description in RNAcentral is "partial 18S ribosomal RNA". It matches the Rfam family "Eukaryotic small subunit ribosomal RNA", at positions 1470 to 1796 of the family's 1831-position model. The record is from RNAcentral.
CCCUUAGAUGUUCUGGGCCGCACGCGCGCUACACUGAUGCAUUCAACGAGUCUAAAACCUGCUCUGAUAGGGGUGGGUAAUCUUUUGAAUGUGCAUCGUGAUUGGGAUAGAUGAUUGAAAUUUUUCAUCUUCAACGAGGAAUGCCUAGUAAACGCAAGCCAUCAGCUUGCAUUGAUUACGUCCCUGCCCUUUGUACACACCGCCCGUCGCUCCUACCGAUUGAAUGAUCCGAUGAAUAUCAUGGAUUGAGGAUGCAAGUAGGUUCACCUAUCUUCAUCUUCGAGAAGUGAAGUAAAUCUUAUCAUUUAGAGGAAGGAGAAGUCGUAACA